This 344-nucleotide ribosomal RNA is filed under the name uncultured fungus. RNAcentral's name for it is "eukaryotic LSU rRNA". It matches the Rfam family "Eukaryotic large subunit ribosomal RNA", at positions 398 to 675 of the family's 3401-position model. Lineage: Eukaryota; Fungi. The record is from RNAcentral.
UGUGAAAUUGUUGAAAGGGAAACGCUUGAAACCAGUAUUGCUUCUGGGGAAUCAGCUGUCCAUCGGGCGGUGCACUUUCUCGGGAGCAAGUCAGCAUCGAUUUGGUCUGAGGUAAAACACUCUUGUAAUGUAGCCCUUUGGGUGUUAUAGACAAGUGAAAUGCCUUGGGCUGGAUCGAGGAAUGCAGCACUUUUGGAGGCCCAGUCAUCUUUGAAAACAUCGGUCUAGACAGCAUGCUGACUAGAUUGAAUGCCUAGAAGCUAGGUUGGUUCCCUUACACCGGUGCUUAGGAUGUUGACGAAAUGGUUUCAAACGACCCGUCUUGAAACACGGACCAAGGAGUC